UACGUAGGGUGCGAGCGUUGUCCGGAAUUAUUGGGCGUAAAGAGCUUGUAGGUGGUUUGUCGCGUCUGCUGUGAAAUCCGAGGCUCAACCUCGGACUUGCAGUGGGUACGGGCAGACUAGAGUGUGGUAGGGGAGACUGGAAUUCCUGGGUGUAGCGGUGGAAUGGCGCAGAUAUACAGGGAGGAACACCGAUGGCGAAGGCAGG
This 205-nucleotide ribosomal RNA is filed under the name uncultured bacterium. RNAcentral's name for it is "partial 16S ribosomal RNA". It matches the Rfam family "Bacterial small subunit ribosomal RNA", at positions 524 to 725 of the family's 1533-position model. The record is from RNAcentral.